Molecule: non-coding RNA, 31 nt
Filed under: Mus musculus (house mouse)
Lineage: Eukaryota; Metazoa; Chordata; Mammalia; Rodentia; Muridae
Source: RNAcentral
UGUGACUCAGACUACAGGCUCUGCUAUUCAU